GACGAACGCUGGCGACGUGCCUAAUACAUGCAAGUAGAACGCUGAAGCGAGGAGCUUGCUCUUCUUGGAUGAGUUGCGAACGGGUGAGUAACGCGUAGGUAACCUGCCUUGUAGCGGGGGAUAACUAUUGGAAACGAUAGCUAAUACCGCAUAACAAUGGAUGACACAUGUCAUUUAUUUGAAAGGGGCAAUUGCUCCACUACCAGAUGGACCUGCGUUGUAUUAGCUAGUAGGUGAGGUAACGGCUCACCUAGGCGACGAUACAUAGCCGACCUGAGAGGGUGGUCGGCCACACUGGGACGGGGACACGGCCCAGACUCCUACGGGAGGCAGCAGUAGGGAAUCUUCGGCAAUGGGGGCAACCCUGACCGAGCAACGCCGCGUGAGUGAAGAAGGGUUUCGGGUCGUAAAGCUCUGUUGUAAGUCAAGAACGGGUGUGAGAGUGGAAAGUUCACACUGUGACGGUAGCUUACCAGAAAGGGACGGCUAACUACGUG
Molecule: ribosomal RNA, 497 nt
Filed under: uncultured bacterium
Lineage: Bacteria
Description: partial 16S ribosomal RNA
Rfam family: Bacterial small subunit ribosomal RNA
Source: RNAcentral